Molecule: transfer RNA, 72 nt
Filed under: Bos taurus (domestic cattle)
Lineage: Eukaryota; Metazoa; Chordata; Mammalia; Artiodactyla; Bovidae
Also listed under: 4 other names
Rfam family: tRNA
About the family: Transfer RNA (tRNA) molecules are approximately 80 nucleotides in length.
Source: Rfam by way of RNAcentral
UCCCUUGUAGCUCAGUUGGUAAAGAAUCUGCCUUCAAUGCAGGAGGCCUGGGUUCAAUUCCUGGAUUGGGAA